GACGAACGCUGGCGGCGUGCUUAACACAUGCAAGUCGAACGGAAAGGCCCUGCUUUUGUGGGGUGCUCGAGUGGCGAACGGGUGAGUAACACGUGAGUAACCUGCCCUUGACUUUGGGAUAACUUCAGGAAACUGGGGCUAAUACCGGAUAGGAGCUCCUGCUGCAUGGUGGGGGUUGGAAAGUUUCGGCGGUUGGGGAUGGACUCGCGGCUUAUCAGCUUGUUGGUGGGGUAGUGGCUUACCAAGGCUUUGACGGGUAGCCGGCCUGAGAGGGUGACCGGCCAGAUUGGGACGGGGAUAGGGCAGGGCGGACUGCGGGGGGGAGCAGUGGGGGAGAGAGCACAAGGGGGGGAAGCCUAACGCAGACACGCCGCGUGAGGGAGAAGGGGAGGCGGGGUGUAAACCGGUUUCGCCGGUGACGAAGGGGGAGGGAGGGUAAGUGGUAAAGAAGAACAGGAUAACGAGGUG
RNAcentral lists this ribosomal RNA (468 nucleotides) under uncultured bacterium. RNAcentral's name for it is "partial 16S ribosomal RNA". It matches the Rfam family "Bacterial small subunit ribosomal RNA", at positions 28 to 507 of the family's 1533-position model. The record is from RNAcentral.